UUUGGUGGCGAUGGUGAAGCGAAACCACAUCGCACUCCAUCCUGAACACGGCCGUUAAGCCUUCCAGCGCCGAUGGUACUUGGACCGAAGGGUCCCGGGAGAGUAGGAUUGCCAAGC
RNAcentral lists this ribosomal RNA (117 nucleotides) under Paenibacillus larvae. The record is from RNAcentral. Lineage: Bacteria; Bacillati; Bacillota; Bacilli; Caryophanales; Paenibacillaceae.